RNAcentral lists this ribosomal RNA (406 nucleotides) under uncultured bacterium. RNAcentral describes it as "partial 16S ribosomal RNA". It matches the Rfam family "Bacterial small subunit ribosomal RNA", at positions 30 to 526 of the family's 1533-position model. The record is from RNAcentral.
AUUGAACGCUGGCGGCAGGCUUAACACAUGCAAGUCGAGCGAGCGGCGGACGGGUGAGUAAUGUCUGGGAACCUGCCUGCUGGUGGGGGAUAACUACUGGAAACGGUAGCUAAUACUGCAUACCAGCAGAUGUGCCCAGAUGGGAUUAGCUAGUAGGUGGGGUAAUGGCUCACCUAGGCGACGAUCCCUAGCUGGUCUGAGAGGAUGACCAGCCACACUGGAACGGAGCCACGGUCCAGACUCCUACGGGAGGCAGCAGUGGGGAAUAUUGCACAAUGGGCGCAAUCCUGAUGUGGCCAAGCCGCGUAUGUGAAGAAGGCCUUCGGGUUGUAGAGCACUUUCAGCGAGGAGGCGGUACUCGAAGAAGAAGCACCGGCUAACUCCGUGCCAGCAGCCGCGGUAAUAC